This 1140-nucleotide long non-coding RNA is filed under the name Setaria italica (foxtail millet). RNAcentral's name for it is "long non-coding RNA (SITA_LNC004156)". The record is from RNAcentral. Lineage: Eukaryota; Viridiplantae; Streptophyta; Magnoliopsida; Poales; Poaceae.
AAACAUGUCAUGUAUUCAGUUCACUGAGAGUAAGCAUGAAUAUACGAAUUGUAAUUCUAAAAUAUCUAGAGGCAUUUAUGCAUUCACACGUAUAUUAUAAACAUUCUUUUUUUUCCGCACAUGUCAAUGAAUAUAUAAUGCUCCCAUUAAACGAAAUAUAUUAAAUAACAAUUGUCUAGGAAUUAUUUAUGCUGACGUUUGACCACCAGGGGUAUUGUUUAUGCUAAAGAGAAAGUGAUAAAACAAAGCUAAAGUGCGAUUCCAAUGGUCUCUGCCUCCACGUAUAAUAUGUGUCAUGACGAAACUCUUAUUUUACAGCAUAGCCGUACUUAUACGAUGGACUGUUAUUUUAUCAUUAAUCAACGACAGCAGCAGCGAAAGAAACCGCACGGAUGGUAGCCCAAAGCCAGCCAUUCGUCAAUGUGAGAGGAUCUCAGGGCAGGAGCUCUCAGGCGUGUAGAGCUUGGUGGUGGACGGAGCCAAAGCCAAGCCAAGUCCCAAGGGUGAGGCGAGGAAGCGGACGAGACGACCGCGUGGGGGGGAGGGGGAGGUCCCCGCAUAAAGGCCGCCAGCACUGGGGGACAAGUUGUUGUCUUCCUUCCACUCCACAGUGCACAGCGCGCGGGGAGGGAGGGAGGGAGGAGCCGAGGAGGAGACGCCGAUCACCUGCUGCCCGCUGCUAGCUGCCUGGCUGCGGCUCCACUCCUCCCUCCCUAGCUUUUAGCGCGGGCUCCUCCUCCCCUCCAAUCCCUGCGCGGUCUAGGCCGCCCCGCGGGCAGUCGUCGCCACGCCACGUCGCGCCAUCCCUGAUCCUGAUCCAGUGAUCCCUCCCUCUCCUCGGCCUGAGCUCGCCUUGUACCCUAGCGGAGCCGGAGGAGAAGCCAGCAGCCCGUCUCGUCUCCUCCCCCAAUUAUAUGAGAGAGAGAGAGAGAGAGAGAGAGAGAGAGAGAAGGCGUGCGUGCGUGCGAGGUGAAAUCGUGAAAGGGAUCGAAGGGUGAAACCGACCCGUGGAUGGGUCGCUCGGCUCCGGAGCCUCUCUUGCUUGGUUUGGUUCUCGGACGGAUCCAGCGCGCACAGUGACUCACGCGCCGGGCCCUGCCACGUGCCGACAAAAGUGCUUCUUCUCGUGUAGAAUUUCAG